AGGUGGUGCAUGGUUGUCGUCAGCUCGUGUCGUGAGAUGUUGGGUUAAGUCCCGCAACGAGCGCAACCCUUAAGCUUAGUUGCCAUCAUUAAGUUGGGCACUCUAAGUUGACUGCCGGUGACAAACCGGAGGAAGGUGGGGAUGACGUCAAAUCAUCAUGCCCCUUAUGAUUUGGGCUACACACGUGCUACAAUGGACAAUACAAAGGGCAGCGAAACCGCGAGGUCAAGCAAAUCCCAUAAAGUUGUUCUCAGUUCGGAUUGUAGUCUGCAACUCGACUACAUGAAGCUGGAAUCGCUAGUAAUCGUAGAUCAGCAUGCUACGGUGAAUACGUUCCCGGGUCUUGUACACACCGCCCGUCACACCACGAGAGUUUGUAACACCCGAAGCCGGUGGAGUAACCUUUUAGGAGCUAGCC
Molecule: ribosomal RNA, 418 nt
Filed under: Staphylococcus aureus
Lineage: Bacteria; Bacillati; Bacillota; Bacilli; Caryophanales; Staphylococcaceae
Description: bacterial SSU rRNA
Rfam family: Bacterial small subunit ribosomal RNA
Source: RNAcentral